GAUACGUUCGUUGGGUAGGGGAGCGUUCUGUAAGCCUGUGAAGGUGGCCUGUGAGGGUUGCUGGAGGUAUCAGAAGUGCGAAUGCUGACAUAAGUAACGAUAAAGCGGGUGAAAAGCCCGCUCGCCGGAAGACCAAGGGUUCCUGUCCAACGUUAAUCGGGGCAGGGUGAGUCGACCCCUAAGGCGAGGCCGAAAGGCGUAGUCGAUGGGAAACGGGUUAAUAUUCCCGUACUUGGUGUUACUGCGAAGGGGGGACGGAGAAGGCUAUGUUGGCCGGGCGACGGUUGUCCCGGUUUAAGCGUGUAGGUGUGUGUUCCAGGUAAAUCCGGUUCACUUUAACACUGAGGCGUGACGACGAGGCACUACGGUGCUGAAGCAACAAAUGCCCUGCUUCCAGGAAAAGCCUCUAAGCAUCAGGUAACAUCAAAUCGUACCCCAAACCGACACAGGUGGUCAGGUAGAGAAUACCAAGGCGCUUGAGAGAACUCGGGUGAAGGAACUAGGCAAAAUGGUGCCGUAACU
This 522-nucleotide ribosomal RNA is filed under the name Salmonella enterica subsp. enterica serovar Derby. Its description in RNAcentral is "partial 23S ribosomal RNA". It matches the Rfam family "Bacterial large subunit ribosomal RNA", at positions 1214 to 1735 of the family's 2925-position model. Lineage: Bacteria; Pseudomonadati; Pseudomonadota; Gammaproteobacteria; Enterobacterales; Enterobacteriaceae. The record is from RNAcentral.